This 28-nucleotide non-coding RNA is filed under the name Drosophila melanogaster (fruit fly). Lineage: Eukaryota; Metazoa; Arthropoda; Insecta; Diptera; Drosophilidae. RNAcentral also lists the same sequence under 5 other names. The record is from RNAcentral.
CUUGACCUCGGAUCAGGUAGGGAUACCC